CCGGGCGGGGCGGGGGCACGGGGGGACUCCUACGGGAGGCAGCAGUGGGGAAUAUUGGACAAUGGGCGCAAGCCUGAUCCAGCAAUGCCGCGUGAGUGAUGAAGGCCUUAGGGUUGUAAAGCUCUUUCGCACGCGACGAUGAUGACGGUAGCGUGAGAAGAAGCCCCGGCUAACUUCGUG
Molecule: ribosomal RNA, 180 nt
Filed under: uncultured Azospirillum sp.
Lineage: Bacteria; Pseudomonadati; Pseudomonadota; Alphaproteobacteria; Rhodospirillales; Azospirillaceae
Description: partial 16S ribosomal RNA
Rfam family: Bacterial small subunit ribosomal RNA
Source: RNAcentral